GAUGAACGCUGGCGGCGUGCCUAAUACAUGCAAGUCGAGCGAACAGACGAGGAGCUUGCUCCUCUGACGUUAGCGGCGGACGGGCGAGUAACACGUGGAUAACCUACCUAUAAGACUGGGAUAACUUCGGGAAACCGGAGCUAAUACCGGAUAAUAUAUUGAACCGCAUGGUUCAAUAGUGAAAGACGGUUUUGCUGUCACUUAUAGAUGGAUCCGCGCCGCAUUAGCUAGUUGGUAAGGUAACGGCUUACCAAGGCAACGAUGCGUAGCCGACCUGAGAGGGUGAUCGGCCACACUGGAACUGAGACACGGUCCAGACUCCUACGGGAGGCAGCAGUAGGGAAUCUUCCGCAAUGGGCGAAAGCCUGACGGAGCAACGCCGCAUGAGUGAUGAAGGUCUUCGGAUCGUAAAACUCUGUUAUUAGGGAAGAACAAAUGUGUAAGUAACUAUGCACGUCUUGACGGUACCUAAUCAGAAAGCCACGGCUAACUACGUG
Molecule: ribosomal RNA, 497 nt
Filed under: uncultured bacterium
Lineage: Bacteria
Description: partial 16S ribosomal RNA
Rfam family: Bacterial small subunit ribosomal RNA
Source: RNAcentral